UUGUGCUAGGCGGGGAGUUGGCGGUGCCUUGUCACCUGAAAUCCGCUUUAUGCAGGGCUGAAUCCCUCCCUGAGGGCCUGAUGUCCUGGAUUAACGGAAACACUCAGACCGGUCGCCGCGCAACAGACGGUCACGAACCUCGUCAGGUCCGGAAGGAAGCAGCGAUAAGUGGUUUAGUCUGUGUCGUGGAUCGACCCCGGUUAUGUAGUUGUUUUUGUUUUUUCGGGAAUAAGGGUUCGAAGGGAGGUGCACAA
RNAcentral lists this signal recognition particle RNA (254 nucleotides) under Desulfatibacillum sp. RNAcentral describes it as "signal recognition particle sRNA large type". It matches the Rfam family "Bacterial large signal recognition particle RNA". From Rfam's summary of the family: The signal recognition particle (SRP) is a universally conserved ribonucleoprotein involved in the co-translational targeting of proteins to membranes. The record is from RNAcentral. Lineage: Bacteria; Pseudomonadati; Thermodesulfobacteriota; Desulfobacteria; Desulfobacterales; Desulfatibacillaceae.